This 274-nucleotide ribosomal RNA is filed under the name uncultured bacterium. RNAcentral describes it as "partial 16S ribosomal RNA". It matches the Rfam family "Bacterial small subunit ribosomal RNA", at positions 523 to 796 of the family's 1533-position model. The record is from RNAcentral.
AUACGGAGGGUGCAAGCGUUAUCCGGAAUCAUUGGGUUUAAAGGGUCCGCAGGCGGAUUAAUAAGUCAGUGGUGAAAUCCUCUCGCUCAACGAGAGAACUGCCAUUGAAACUGUUAGUCUUGAAUUCGGUCGAAGUAGGCGGAAUGUGUCAUGUAGCGGUGAAAUGCAUAGAUAUGACACAGAACACCGAUAGCAAAGGCAGCUUACUAGACCUGGAUUGACGCUCAUGGACGAAAGCGUGGGGAGCGAACAGGAUUAGAAACCCCGGUAGUCC